UGAUACACAGCUCAGGAACAAGAAAGAACCAGCUUCACCCUUUAAUGCAAUGCAAGGCGGUACAGUUAUAGAAUGUCAGCUACUGCUAAGAAGUACUCUGGUAAAAUCAUGUUGUACUCUCUGCGUUUCAAGUUGGAACUCGAAUUCAGCCACAACUGGUCCUAUAGGUGAAGUCAGUGAACUUGAUCUACCCCAGAUAACAAAUUCUUGCAAGGACAUGAGCGAAAAAGAUAAGGGGGGAAGGGGGGGGGGGGGCUUAAUCUCUUCAUGCUUAUCCCCAAAAAGAAAGGGAUGCAGCAGUUCCUACUAGAUUUACUAAGUCCAAUUCUCAUCAGUCAACCUUUUCUACCACAAAUUGCAACAUUGUUAUAGACGCAAAAAUCCAGGUAUUUCCUACUAAGAAAAAAAACACACACAUACCACCAGUUCUUGAAGUAGCGACCUGAGAAUAUUCUCCAGCAGCUGAUUCUCGUCUUGGACUAGCUUUAUUUGCUUCUGCAGAUGACCAGAAAAAAUUCAAGACGUUGCAUAAGAACUCCAUGGCAGUAAGCUCAUAUCAGUAAGCAUAUCUCAUUCAUCAUUAUUUAACAAGACCUGGUAUAAUCUAUCAAAUAAGCUACAAUUAUGUUAUGAAAAAAAUGGACUUCUUUAUAAAAAAAAUACUACCCCUCAAACCAAGAAGAAAGCAAAAUCUACAGGCAUGUCACCAACACAAUCAAAUCGCACAGUCAAAUUAUGUUUGGGAAACACUAUCAAGUCUUUACUACUUGUAACACGGGAAAAGGUCCAUUUUAAAGCAGGGAGCAAGUUCUUAAGUUGAAACUUGAAUAUUCCCUCAACGCACCCCCAAUGCACAGGAAAAA
This 863-nucleotide long non-coding RNA is filed under the name Nicotiana benthamiana. RNAcentral describes it as "long non-coding RNA (NBEN_LNC003799)". Lineage: Eukaryota; Viridiplantae; Streptophyta; Magnoliopsida; Solanales; Solanaceae. The record is from RNAcentral.